Molecule: transfer RNA, 87 nt
Filed under: Lasiosphaeria miniovina
Lineage: Eukaryota; Fungi; Ascomycota; Sordariomycetes; Sordariales; Lasiosphaeriaceae
Rfam family: tRNA
About the family: Transfer RNA (tRNA) molecules are approximately 80 nucleotides in length.
Source: Rfam by way of RNAcentral
GGGAUAAUAGUAUAGUGGUCAGUACUUCUCGUUGUGGUGGGAGCUCCAACGUCCGAGAGGACCCAGGUUCGAUUCCUGGUUAUCCCA